RNAcentral lists this small nuclear RNA (118 nucleotides) under Zalophus californianus (California sea lion). RNAcentral describes it as "U2 spliceosomal RNA (ENSZCAG00015002966.1)". It matches the Rfam family "U2 spliceosomal RNA". Rfam says of the family: U2 is a small nuclear RNA (snRNA) component of the spliceosome (involved in pre-mRNA splicing). Lineage: Eukaryota; Metazoa; Chordata; Mammalia; Carnivora; Otariidae. The record is from RNAcentral.
AUGGCUUUUCAGCCUUUUGGCCAAAAUCAAAAUCAAGUAUAGUAUCUGUUCUUAUCAGUUACUAUCUGAUAUGUUUUCUAUCUAAUAGUAAAAGGAUAAUUCAAAUUGAAGAAUAUCA